GCUGCUAAGGCAGACCUGAUGCUGGGAACCGGAAGAAGGCCCCCAGGAGGUGGGGCCUGGCCUCACUGCCAUCUGAAGGGAAGAUAAAUUCUCCACCUAAAGCAGCCAUCCUCCUGAGCAUCCCCAUGUGUAAGCCACCAAGAACAAAAACCUUGAGCAAGAAGAGCUUCAGCAAGGAGCCUAUGGCUAAGCGCCCCACAGAUGGAAGGGAGAGGGGGAAGGGCAAGGAGGACCACCAUCCGAGGCAGAGCACUUGACAGUUGAGAAGGAGGUGCCACCGGAUGUUUCAGGCUGACUGGUUUGCAGAAGCUAAAAGGUACAGGUCUGGAGGUCGGGAAUCUAGAAGACAUUUUAGAGGGCAAAGGUCAAGGUAGUACCGGGGUAGCUUCUGCUGGAGGCUCUGAGGAGAGAGCGCAGCAUCCUCCCGGCUUCUGGAGUCCUCCUUAGUCCUUGGCUUGCCCCGACACCAGACUGGAGGAGCGAUGCACUCGAUUCUCCUGCCUGCAGCUGGAGUGGAUUCUGUCUCAUCUUGCUCAACCCUGUGAUAAAUGCUGUAUGCUUUGUCUCUGCCUGUUCUGACCAGGCCAGUCCCAUCCUGCCUGCUAUUCAUCCUGUGUUCCUGCUACCACACUGGCUUGGCACAGCUUAGGGGCUGUUGGCUCCACACCAGGUCCUCUUCCUCUGCCCCUUCCAAGCCCACACCAUAGAGAAUGUGAUCUCUUCACUCAAAAUCUUCCAGGAACUAGACACACGAGGUGCCUGCUCUCAAGGUACUGAGCUUGGGAUUGGCCCUCCUAGCUCCAUUCUGGAAUCGGAGUGUAAAAGUCAGCACAGCAACCUUGUGUGUGCCUCCGUAAAGCAACUCUGUGAUUUGAACGUCAUGGGGCCUCAGUUUCCCAUUUGUGCCAAGUAGUUGAUACUGUAAAGCCCCACCAUGACAGUCUUGUAAAAUGCAAGGAUAUGUUGCCAAAAAAUUAACAUGUGAGUCAGG
Mesocricetus auratus (golden hamster) is the source of this 991-nucleotide long non-coding RNA. RefSeq lists it as uncharacterized. The record is from RefSeq and is a predicted model, not a curated record. Lineage: Eukaryota; Metazoa; Chordata; Mammalia; Rodentia; Cricetidae. The transcript is spliced from 2 exons.